Molecule: long non-coding RNA, 1968 nt
Organism: Schistocerca nitens (vagrant locust)
Lineage: Eukaryota; Metazoa; Arthropoda; Insecta; Orthoptera; Acrididae
Exons: 3
Source: RefSeq, a predicted model, not a curated record
GAUACAGGUGCCUGAGUGUAGACAGUGAAUCUACAGAUGUUGUACAUCAGGAUGCAGUAAAAAAUAAUACUUUAAGUGAUCACUUACAUGCCGUAAACUGUUAUGCCAUGUCAAACUACAAGCAGGAACAGUGCUGUGGGAAUGCAAGCAAAAUUUCUAUUCAAACCACUGUGCCAGAAAAUAAUACCAUAAACAAAACAAAGUAUGCAGUCAUAAAUCAUAAAGAAAUAGAAAUUGUGUUAUAUGCAUACAGUCAAGGCAGAGGAAUUACCAAAACGUUGCACUACCAGUAUAGACUGAGAGUUAUAGGUUGCGUGAAAUCAGGCACUUGUAUGCGAGAAAUCGUAAAAAGUUGUAGGCCUAUAAACGAAAAUAGCAAGACAUAGAACCAAUGCAUUGUAAUCCAUGGUAGUGCAAAUGAUGCCUAUAGAAAUAAAUUAAUGGAAGAAACUUGCAAUUUGAGUCUUGUUAUAAUUCAAAUACAGAAUUAAUCUGUUGUUGUUAUUGAUAUUCCACACAGGCACAACCUAAUUGCUUCAGCCUAUGUAAACAAAGAAAUUCAGAAAGCAAGCAGGAUAUCCAAAAAAAACUUUGCAAAUCAACCACAAAUGCUUUAUUUUUCGCCACAGAUGACUUCAAAAGAGCUCAUUUCACAAAAUGUGGGCUGCACCUAAACAAAAAGGGCAACAUAUAUUUGGCCUAAAAUGUCAAGGAUUCUCUGAAAGCUACAUCAAGUAGUUGGACUGUGGGAUCCAUUCCUCUACUGCCAGAAGGAUCAGACUCAGAACCUGCAGCAGCAGAAACUGGAUUACAAAUUGAAGCAGAAAUAUACAGUUGCUACAAUAGCAGCAGCAGCAGCAGGAGAAACAAAAUCAGUGGCUGAGAAAAUUGUAACAGUAGCAGUAUCUUCACCAACAUUAACAGGAACAACAGCAUCAACAACAAACAGUAGAAGCACCUGCAGAAAUAGCAGUAUCACAAAAGGAUACCAGCCCAUCACAGUGGAGACACAGCUUCAGACAACAAGCCAAGGAUGAAAAAUAUCAAGAGGAUGCAGACCUCCACCUCACAGCAAAGAUUUUCUGUGGGGGGGACAAAAUAAAAACUCACAGAUGGGGUGCAGAAGCUGCCAGCUCCAGACAUCAGCAAGGGGGGAUGGCAAUUGUGUGUCUCCACCUCCUGUGAAGUCUUGCUUGUUCUUUGGACGUGGUGCCUUGCAGGAUGAGUGGCAAAAAGAACCUCAAUACUUUGAAGGCCUCUUCCAGCUCUUGGCCCUCAACAGAAGGUGACAAAGUCACAUGGCAAGAGUUGGUGGCAAGAAUAACAGGUCCACUACAUCAUGAAAAUUUAAGAAAGGCAACCAUACAGGAAAGUAAUUAAAGUAAAAAGUGUCACAGAUAAUAUCUGGGUGACAGGUCACUGGGAAGCCAACACAUCUUAUUGACUCAGUCCAGCUAUAGAACAGUGAUGAUACAUUCCAGUUUGGUGACCACGACAGGACGUGGGUUGUAACGUGCAAUAAGCCAUUCGGACCAUAUACAUUCUCAAAUUUAUGACCUUAUCCUUUUUUUAUCUUAUUUGAAAUGUUUUAAACUCCACCUGUAUAAUAUGUCAUGCAAACACAAUUAACCCCUGUGAUUAAAAAACAAAUUUCAUAAAAUUACUGUACUACAAAAAGAUAUAGAUAUAUUUGUUUAUGUGAUAUAUAUUAUCAUAAUUGUUCUAUUGUAUGAAUGAGUUAAUUUCAUUUUUUGUCAAUUAUUUUCGAUUUAAUGUUCUAUGUUCUGUGUUUCAAUCUUAGUAUGAAUAUAUCUUUACUGAUGUAAUUUGGAACGAUGUUAACUCGGUGCGGUUGGCUUGCAUGUCUAUGUGGCGGGAAGGAAGGAGGGAGAAGUGUAAAGUUUUCUGGAGUUGCGUAUAAAUGGAAUGUAUUUCACUUGAUGAACAUCAUAAAUUUGUGGUAGCAAG